Molecule: ribosomal RNA, 406 nt
Filed under: uncultured bacterium
Lineage: Bacteria
Description: bacterial SSU rRNA
Rfam family: Bacterial small subunit ribosomal RNA
Source: RNAcentral
AGGGCUUGACAUAUAUAGGAUAUAGUUAGAGAUAAUUAUUCCCCGUUUGGGGUCUAUAUACAGGUGCUGCAUGGUUGUCGUCAGCUCGUGCUGUGAGGUGUUGGGUUAAGUCCCGCAACGAGCGCAACCCUUGUUAUCUGUUACCAGCAUGUAAUGAUGGGGACUCAGAUAAGACUGCCGGUGAUAAGUCGGAGGAAGGUGAGGAUGACGUCAAAUCAUCAUGGCCCUUAUGUCCUGGGCUACACACGUGCUACAAUGGCCUGUACAAAGCGAAGCGAAACAGUGAUGUGAAGCAAAACGCACAAAGCAGGUCUCAGUCCGGAUUGAAGUCUGAAACUCGACUUCAUGAAGUUGGAAUCGCUAGUAAUCGUAUAUCAGAAUGAUACGGUGAAUACGUUCUCGGGCC